This 246-nucleotide ribosomal RNA is filed under the name uncultured bacterium. RNAcentral describes it as "partial 16S ribosomal RNA". It matches the Rfam family "Bacterial small subunit ribosomal RNA", at positions 524 to 769 of the family's 1533-position model. The record is from RNAcentral.
UACGGAGGGUGCAAGCGUUGUUCGGAAUUAUUGGGCGUAAAGCGCGUGUGGGCGGUUUUUUAAGCUGAUGUGAAAGCCCCGGGCUCAACCUGGGAAGUGCAUUGGAUACUGGAAGACUUGAGUACGGGAGAGGGUAGUGGAAUUCCUAGUGUAGGAGUGAAAUCCGUAGAUAUUAGGAGGAACACCGGUGGCGAAGGCGGCUGCCUGGACCGAUACUGACGCUGAGACGCGAAAGCGUGGGGGAGC